ACUGACUUCGAGAAUGAAGCCACAGACCCUCGCGGUUCUGAGAGAUCAUGUCUGUUUCCACUUAAGAAAAAUAAAUAAAAGUUUUAAGGGAGUAAUUGAGCAAGAAAAGCAGAAAAAUACUGCUGAAUUGCACAGAAUGAGAAGGAAUAAAACAGGUUCACUAACUGAUUAAAGGCAGAAUAAUAGAAGAAAAAGCAUACAAAAUUAUUAAUGUGCCACAAGAGUCUUACAAAAGAAGAUCCCCCAAAAAGGGAUUGUCAAAGUAAAUGUUACACUGGAUAAAGUUACACAGAAGGUAGUUUACAACUUGAAGAAGGAUGUCCUAACCAGAGUUAGUCUCCUAAACUCCCACGGAAGCUGGAAGACUGUGGCACUCCCUUCCUUAAUGAUUACAUUUCAAAGACAUUAUCAAAGAGAUAACUCCCAGGCAGCAAGUGCUCUCCUUCUGUUUUUCAUGCAUGUGGGAGUCUCCAGCAUUUACAUUAGCAAGAGUAACAGCCGUGGUGGCAGCAUCUGGAUCCUUGAUUGACAGCAUUAUGGAAAGUUACUGGCCAGAUACUCCUUACUUAAGUUGGCACCAAUCAACUUGCCUGGGGAUCAGUCAAAUGGGGUGAGGUGAGGGGGACUUCAGGAGAUCCUUCCCAGAUGGAUGCCAAAUUCCUUUGAUAGCCCUGUCAUUGUCAAGAAUUUCUUCAAGUUUAUGUGUAUAAGAAUAAAAUCUUGUUCAAGUUUA
Molecule: long non-coding RNA, 733 nt
Organism: Homo sapiens (human)
Lineage: Eukaryota; Metazoa; Chordata; Mammalia; Primates; Hominidae
Source: Ensembl